This 253-nucleotide ribosomal RNA is filed under the name uncultured bacterium. RNAcentral describes it as "partial 16S ribosomal RNA". It matches the Rfam family "Bacterial small subunit ribosomal RNA", at positions 524 to 776 of the family's 1533-position model. The record is from RNAcentral.
UACGAAGGGGACUAGCGUUGUUCGGAAUCACUGGGCGUAAAGCGCACGUAGGCGGAUAUGUCAGUCAGGGGUGAAAUCCCGGGGCUCAACCUCGGAACUGCCUUUGAUACAGCAUAUCUUGAGUCCGAUAGAGGUGGGUGGAAUUCCUAGUGUAGAGGUGAAAUUCGUAGAUAUUAGGAAGAACACCGGUGACGAAGGCGGCCCACUGGAUCGGUACUGACGCUGAGGUGCGAAAGCGUGGGGAGCAAACAGG